This 254-nucleotide ribosomal RNA is filed under the name Salmonella enterica subsp. enterica. RNAcentral describes it as "partial 23S ribosomal RNA". It matches the Rfam family "Bacterial large subunit ribosomal RNA", at positions 1608 to 1873 of the family's 2925-position model. Lineage: Bacteria; Pseudomonadati; Pseudomonadota; Gammaproteobacteria; Enterobacterales; Enterobacteriaceae. The record is from RNAcentral.
CCUAGAAAAGCUUCUAGGAAGAAGAAGACGGCCCGUACCGCAAACCGACACAGGUAGUCGAGGAGAGCAUCCUAAGGUGAUCGAGCGAACUCUCGUUAAGGAACUCGGCAAAAUGACCCCGUAACCUAGGGAGAAGGGGUGCUGACCACAUGGUCAGCCGCAGUGAAUAGGCCCAGGCGACUGUUUACCAAAAACACAGGUCUCUGCUAAUUCGAAAGAAGAUGUAUAGGGGCUGACACCUGCCCGGUGCUGGA